This 92-nucleotide ribosomal RNA is filed under the name Yersinia pestis PY-63. Lineage: Bacteria; Pseudomonadati; Pseudomonadota; Gammaproteobacteria; Enterobacterales; Yersiniaceae. The record is from RNAcentral.
GGCGGCCAUAGCGCGGUGGUCCCACCUGAUCCCAUGCCGAACUCAGAAGUGAAACGCCGUAGCGCCGAUGGUAGUGUGGGGUCUCCCCAUGC